UACGGAGGAUCCAAGCGUUAUCCGGAUUUAUUGGGCUUAAAGGGUGCGUAGGCGGCCUAUUAAGUCAGGGGUGAAAGACGGUAGCUUAACUAUCGCAGUGCCUUUGAUACUGAUGGGCUUGAAUGUACUUGAGGUAGGCGGAAUGUGACAAGUAGCGGUGAAAUGCAUAGAUAUGUCACAGAACACCAAUUGCGAAGGCAGCUUACUAAAGUAUGAUUGACGCUGAGGCACGAAAGCGUGGGGAUCAAACAGG
Molecule: ribosomal RNA, 253 nt
Filed under: uncultured bacterium
Lineage: Bacteria
Description: partial 16S ribosomal RNA
Rfam family: Bacterial small subunit ribosomal RNA
Source: RNAcentral